RNAcentral lists this transfer RNA (72 nucleotides) under Bos taurus (domestic cattle). It matches the Rfam family "tRNA". From Rfam's summary of the family: Transfer RNA (tRNA) molecules are approximately 80 nucleotides in length. Their secondary structure includes four short double-helical elements and three loops (D, anti-codon, and T loops). Further hydrogen bonds mediate the characteristic L-shaped molecular structure. tRNAs have two regions of fundamental functional importance: the anti-codon, which is responsible for specific mRNA codon recognition, and the 3' end, to which the tRNAs corresponding amino acid is attached (by aminoacyl-tRNA synthetases). tRNAs cope with the degeneracy of the genetic code in two manners: having more than one tRNA (with a specific anti-codon) for a particular amino acid; and 'wobble' base-pairing, i.e. permitting non-standard base-pairing at the 3rd anti-codon position. Lineage: Eukaryota; Metazoa; Chordata; Mammalia; Artiodactyla; Bovidae. RNAcentral also lists the same sequence under 4 other names. The record is from Rfam by way of RNAcentral.
UCCCAGGUGGCUCAGUUGGUAAAGAAUCUGCCUGCAAUGCAGGAGACCUGGGUUUGAUCCCUGGGUUGGGAA